Molecule: long non-coding RNA, 1342 nt
Filed under: Gadus morhua (Atlantic cod)
Lineage: Eukaryota; Metazoa; Chordata; Actinopteri; Gadiformes; Gadidae
Description: lncRNA (ENSGMOG00000031376.1)
Source: RNAcentral
CAAAAACAACUCGUCAAAAUACUUCAGCCAGCCGGUGAAUAGCAGUAAGAGGGGCAAGUCAUUUGUUACAGCUAAAUAAGCUACACCUACUAAUGCAGAUUGUAUUUGAAAGCUCCACGUGAUUAUUAUAAUCUCCUAGCCACUAACCCAACGGGAAAAUCAUUGUGUGAAAUCAGUGGGCUCGCCUGCCUCGUCAUCAUCUUCAUGAAGUCAUCUAUUUAUCAUCCGAUGUCCCAGAAUCCCGAAUCAGGAUGACAUUGAGAAAGUGGAAGUAUAAUAAUUCAACCAAGCUCUUACACUCUUUCUAAUUUCUUCCCACAAAAAUAUCUUUGAAGACAUUUGUCAACACUUUGCUCCCGAAAGCGACGCCGAGCUGGAUGGGUUUGAGGGACAUCCAACGGGUUUGGACCUGGGUGGACGGAACCAUCCCCACCACAACGUAUUGGGGGACGGACCAGCCCAACAACUUCGGUGGCGGGCAGGACUGUGUCUGGUACUUCCAAGGCGAAACAAUUGGAUGGCCUGGCGGAGCAUGGAACGACAUUGGAUGUCAAUCGUUAAACGGCUGCAUUUGUGAAAAGUAGAGAGUAAAUGUGUUUGAUAUAGGGAUGGAUGUGUCUAUCAUCAAGGGAUGUUAGGAUGUUGCUAGGGGAUUGUCUGGAUGUACCUGCUGAUGUCUGGAUCUGUCUUGUGUUGUAUACCGGGAAUGGGUUAACCUAGCGAUUGUUAGUUGACUAUACUGUCACUCGCCUGCCUCUUCUGAUCACUUGUGUUCUGUGAUUGUACUGUGAUUAUUCAUUGCCUGAGGGAUAUCUGUAGAAUGUGCCAUCUGUGAAAUUUAUAUGCAAUGAUUUGGGUGAUUACACAUUAGGAAUAUUUAUGUAAGAAAACAUGUUGCUUCAUCGUUAACAUAAAGCAUUCAUUAUUCAAGCCUACGAUGACUUCCUCAGAUCAGAUAUUGUGUGUAACACAACUAUAACAAACCAGGGUUGACUGUGUGGGGAAAACCUUUUCAUUCAUCUUUUAUUUUCAUUAGCAGCGGAUAUCAAUACUAAUGUCAAUAGAAUCAGGUGAUAUUUCGUCCAUUAUCUCAACAUUAGCCUCAUAUGGGCUGAUUUGGCUCAAGCCUUGUUGGUUCAAGUCACUCUGGCUGAGAGCAUCGGCUCUAUGAACUGAAGCAAUAGACGGAAGUUCACAACAGUUUGAAGCCUUAGCCUUGCAGACAACAAUCACCUGUCCAGAGAUGUGGUCAUCUUUAGCAGUGCUUUAUAUAAUCAACAAUCCCCAAGAAAAACCCAUCCCCAUAUUCAUCAACAGAAAAUAGCAACAAUUUUGUGAUAUU